UACGGAGGAGGCAAGCGUUAUCCGGAAUUAUUGGGCGUAAAGCGUCCGUAGGUGGUUUAGUAAGUCUGCUGUUAAAGCGCGGGGCUUAACUCCGUAUCGGCAGUGGAAACUACUAGACUAGAGUGUGGUAGGGGUAGAGGGAAUUCCCAGUGUAGCGGUGAAAUGCGUAGAUAUUGGGAAGAACACCGGUGGCGAAGGCGCUCUACUGGGCCAUAACUGACACUGAGGUGCGAAAGCUAGGGGAGCGAACAGG
This 253-nucleotide ribosomal RNA is filed under the name uncultured bacterium. RNAcentral describes it as "partial 16S ribosomal RNA". It matches the Rfam family "Bacterial small subunit ribosomal RNA", at positions 524 to 776 of the family's 1533-position model. The record is from RNAcentral.